AUGGGAGAUGCGCCGACGAUAUUGCUCCGAUCGUCGCGACGCAGGUCAAUGCUAGCUAGGGUGCGCAACAGGAGGACGGUUAGGGAGGCCGCACAUUCGCAUCGCUGGAUGUGCCAAAUGCCAAAUGAGCUCCCUACCGAUGGCUUGAUCUACAGUUCAUUCAGUUAUGGGAUUCAGGCGAUUCAUCUUAUUCCUCUGGUGCAGGACGAGGCCUUGCUACUUAUCUAUUCAUUCGCCUCUGCUUGCUUACCAGAUGCUCAACGAGGGGGCCAUCAAAUAUUCAAAUUUGCUUGUGCCAAGGCUAUUUGGAAAUCUUGGGCGCCACUUAACUGCUACACAGCCGGAUACUUCUCUGGUUCCUACGUUGACUGGUAA
Molecule: ribosomal RNA, 375 nt
Filed under: Triticum aestivum (bread wheat)
Lineage: Eukaryota; Viridiplantae; Streptophyta; Magnoliopsida; Poales; Poaceae
Description: partial small subunit ribosomal RNA
Source: RNAcentral